RNAcentral lists this ribosomal RNA (584 nucleotides) under Alternaria alternata. Its description in RNAcentral is "eukaryotic LSU rRNA". The stretch from base 203 to 356 matches the Rfam family "5.8S ribosomal RNA". The record is from RNAcentral. Lineage: Eukaryota; Fungi; Ascomycota; Dothideomycetes; Pleosporales; Pleosporaceae.
ACAUCUUCCGUAGGGUGAACCUGCGGAGGGAUCAUUACACAAAUAUGAAGGCGGGCUGGAACCUCUCGGGGUUACAGCCUUGCUGAAUUAUUCACCCUUGUCUUUUGCGUACUUCUUGUUUCCUUGGUGGGUUCGCCCACCACUAGGACAAACAUAAACCUUUUGUAAUUGCAAUCAGCGUCAGUAACAAAUUAAUAAUUACAACUUUCAACAACGGAUCUCUUGGUUCUGGCAUCGAUGAAGAACGCAGCGAAAUGCGAUAAGUAGUGUGAAUUGCAGAAUUCAGUGAAUCAUCGAAUCUUUGAACGCACAUUGCGCCCUUUGGUAUUCCAAAGGGCAUGCCUGUUCGAGCGUCAUUUGUACCCUCAAGCUUUGCUUGGUGUUGGGCGUCUUGUCUCUAGCUUUGCUGGAGACUCGCCUUAAAGUAAUUGGCAGCCGGCCUACUGGUUUCGGAGCGCAGCACAAGUCGCACUCUCUAUCAGCAAAGGUCUAGCAUCCAUUAAGCCUUUUUUUCAACUUUUGACCUCGGAUCAGGUAGGGAUACCCGCUGAACUUAAGCAUAUCAAAAAGCCGGGAAGAAAAAA